RNAcentral lists this long non-coding RNA (4041 nucleotides) under Homo sapiens (human). Its description in RNAcentral is "HSALNT0327262". The record is from RNAcentral. Lineage: Eukaryota; Metazoa; Chordata; Mammalia; Primates; Hominidae.
AAAAUAAACCAAGAGUAAAAGUGAUUAAAAUAGCAACAAAGUUAAAACAAAGUAAAAUAAACAAAAUAAGGAAACAAGGCAUACUGUUGGGCUGUGACAAAUAAAGAAAACUUAAAUAAGAUAAUAAAAAAUAAAUACAGUAAAAUGAAAUAAGGAUUUGAGCCAGGGACUUUAUACGAUAUGUAUAGUUUAAGCCGGGAGGUUGGGAAAAUAGGCAUAGGUGUGCUCUUGCACAGAUAUUACUAGCAGGCUAAAUGGUAAACCUCUUUAUGAGUGGUUUUCAAGCUGUCUUCUGAGAAGCCCUGGAGCUAGUUUCUUAUAGGCCCUCUAGGGCGUGGCUUGGGGGAAGAAUAGGUCUGGAGAUAGGCCAGACCAUGCUGCCACAGGCCAUUUGCUUUUGCUUCUGUUUCUGCCAGAGAAACUGUGCCUCCAGCUGCCUUAUCGGUGUCUACAGAGAAAAUUCAGAGAGGACUGUGAACUUGCAUAAGAAUAAAAUUAUAUUUUUAUUUUCACUAACCUCAAUAAUAUUUAGCAUUUCUUUCAUUUAUGAAUGUAGGCAGCAGAUGACUAUAAUAUUAACAGCAUCUGUGUCUUUCUUGCCAAUAAAAAUCAUUGAUUUUUUCAUAUCACAUUACAUUUGUUACAGAUAUCACUGCUUAGAAAUUAUGUUAGUAAUUAAACCUACCGCUAGCUAGUGUUAUUUCAUGCAUUAAUAAAGCAGCACAUAUGUUACCAUAUCCCAAAGAUUUCUUAAUAUCUUGAUAAUUGUAUUUCAAUAUAAUUGGUUUCUGUUGUAAGAAACUAAUUCUGAGAAGCCUUCAUCAGACUGCCAGAGGGUUCAAGACAAAAAAUUGUUAGGAACCCUGCUGUGAGAUCUUGUUUGAAAAAUAGGUUCUUUUGCUUAGACUUAUUUUUAUUUCUUCCCUUAGGUUUUUUGGGUUUUAAAUACUCUGGGUCUUUGUUUUCUCUUCUUACAAAGAAGACUUUCUUAGUUUAGACCUUACCAAGUAAGACAAGCAUAUAAUUGAUGGGUUUUCUGUCUUCACAAUGAAAAUUUAGAUACAGCCAGUCUCCCAAGUUUCCCUACAGCACCGGAAAAAAGGUGUGGUGAGGAGUGAGAAGAUUUGGACAGGCCCUGAGAUGCUACCUGUCAGGAGACCAGCGCUGGCAGGGUGCUAGACAGGAGCAUUUCCGCUUUAUUUUGAUAUCACCAUCACCCAGUCCUUGGUGAGGAACUGGCCACAGACCUUUGGAGAAAGAACAAUUGCCAAAACAUACCCAUUGGGUCUUCCUGGUGUAUUGGCACUAGUUGGAAAAUUUUAGACCAGAUGACCUCUGAAGUCCUGCCAACUUCCGGAAUCUGAAAUUGCAACCUGGAUAGACUAAGUGAGUCCCUUGGAGCCAUGUGACAAGUCCAAGCUCCAGCUGUGGAUGAGGCCUGACUUCAAGUUCAGAAGCUCAUCAGCUAGCCCAGUGUAUCUCUUUGUGUCAGUUUUUUUUCCUAAGCAGUUUCAGUAAUAUACCAAAAGAUACAGACUCAAUGAACAUUUUGAAACCUCCUAACAGUGUGACAUAGAAUUAAUUAAACCUAGAAAAAAAUUAACAUAAAAAGAAAUUCAACAAUGAAAAUGUAUUAUCUUGUGGGGGAGGUACUAAAAAGACCCUGAAGGAGUCAGGAUGGGAAGAAAGAGGUGACUGGGGUCUUAGGACCAGUUUAGUCCCCACUUUGAUCUGUAGCUUUGAACUAGUUAGUGAACUCUCUGGACAUCAGCUUUCUAGAUGAGCAGAUCAUCUUGGAUGCCUCCCAAGGCACUUCCCAUAGCUAAAACAUAAUGUUUCUUAAUGUCACUGAUAAGAUUUUAUCACCAGAUGCCUCAGACUUUGAAAGCAUGUAGCUCUGGCUUUUUGUUUAGUUUCUCACGCAGAAUUUUAUUCACUUUAAAAUUGAAGUUCCAGCCGCCUUAACUAUGAAUAUCAAGAGAAAAACUAAUAGAUGUAAAAGUAAACAACAGAAAGGGUAGAAGAUCUCUUAUUCUCUUCUGGAUUUAGGUGACAGACUUCAUUUACUAUCUUGUUUGUGAAUAUAUUUAGUAAAUUUUGUGGUAUGAGAAGUUGGGUAUCCACUCUUAUUUAUCCUCUAGGUAACUAAUUUUUAUACAUAUGUACUUGCCUUUUUCCUGCAAGGCCCACAAACCACAUGUUUUUGAUGCCUUGUAUAUACAUGAGAUUUAAAAGGAGAAGGCUAAAGUAAAUCUGUUCUAAUAGCUACAGAACCAUUUGUAAAUUAAACCUUAAACUCCUAAAAUUUCACAUAAGAAUAUGUAUCCAAGUUCUUUUUUUUCUACAGUAUAAACCCCUUUUAUUGAAAAAUAUUUCUCCUGCCUAUUUUUAUAAUUGUAAAGUCAAAUUAAGGUACCAGGAAUUAUAGCUACAGGGCAAUGAGAAAGGCAUAACUAAAAUAUAGUUUUAUAUUUAUUAUAUAAACCCUACUUCAGUAGGGUUUUAAGUGUAACGCAGUUUGAUUUGAAAAUAAUUAAGAGAUCGUUUCAGAAACUGGUAUAAUAUUUAAGGGAGAGCUGAGUAGAUAAACAGAAGCUUCAAGGAGAGAUUUAUGGGAACAGAAGUUUCAGUUGAUUGCAUCAUGGUUUUUGAGGCCAAAGGCAAAUAAAUUCCUGAGUAUUUCCAGAUGCUGUGUGUCUAGGCAAGAGGACAUCUGAGGAGCUAGAAGUAUUUGAUGUGAAUUCUGUUUAGUGGUCUAGGCUGCUUUCAUUUUCAUGAUAGAUUUCCAGGUAUGUUUGUUUUGAACAGGCAGAUUUUACAUUUUGAGGUCUAUUCUGUUUUUUUAAUAGCAAUGCUGAUUUUAAGACAAAUAGUAUCACCAUUUUAUACCUAGUAAUAGGCAAAGCUGGGACUUAAAACUAGGUCUUCCAACACCAGAUCAUUACAGCACAUGAACAGUGUAUUCAUUAUGCACUGGCUGUUACAUAGUUCAGUGAUGGACACUACCAAGAGGUGAAACUCAAUCAUUAGUCUUCAUUGGUAAAAAUCUUGGCAGAGUUUUGAUAAGUCAAACACUGAAAUUAUGUGUUCAAGUGAGAACUUUGUGCAUCUCAUACGUAUAGAUUAGUAUAGUCCUCCAUUUGCUGAAUAAUAGCAGGUAAUAACAGACUUACACACUUACACAGUGCUUUCAGACUCCAGUUGGAAUGGACUACUGUUCUCUGAAUGUGCCUUCUACUUUCAUAUCUUGCCUAUGCUCUUCCCUCCCCACUGUCUCUUUCUAACAGAAUACAGCCUGUGUUUUAAGGCCUGUCCCAAAUUCUGCUACACUCAUAAACUUACCCUGAUUUUCACGGUUGAAUGUGAUCUCUCUGACCCAUCUAUAAAAUUUUGUUUUACCUAUUCAGGGGUGCUUACUUAUUUUGUUUUGUCUUCUGUCAAAAAUAUUUCUUUCUUUCUCUUUACCUGAGACACAGUAUAGUAUAGUAGACAAGAGUAUGGACUUGAGCCAGAGUGCCUGGAUUUGAAUGUCGAAUGUGCCAUCCAUUUCCUCCCUCAUAAAAUGAGUGUUAAAAUAGUGCCUGUGCUUUAGGGUAUUUAUGAGACUCCAAGAAAUUGAUAACGUUAUAAUGCCCUUAGAACAGUCUUGGGACAAAGAAGGUCAGUGCUCAAUAAAAUUUAGCUUUAAUGUUGACUAUACUAGAUUGUAACAUCGGGAGAAGCAAGGAGUAUUUAUUUCCCAUACUUCUCUCUUAUGGGAAAAUGUAUUUGAUUUCUGGUUUAGGUUUCCCUAACCAUCCGCACCACCCCUGCCCCAAGGGCAUCAAGGUGUAAGGGCCAUCAAGGCUCAGGAAUGUGGAGAAGUAGAUGCUUAGGAACACUAGUAGUUCAACACACAUUUAGAAAGGAUAUCACAUUUUGGGGGAAGCUUCCUGACCCUAAAAGACAGCAAAUCAAAUCUGUCAUACGUGUACCCGUAUUGCUAAGCUUACAGCCACAAACCAGAAGGGGGCAACAGAUCUGCUUACUAUCUGUGAAGAA